UCCAAUAUCCAGUAGAUUCAUUCAGAUGUUGGAUGUGGCGACACGACUCAUUGAAUGUGUAGAUGUCCUCACUGUCUACUACUAUGGCUUCUUGACAGAGGACGAACGGGGCAACGAGUUGAUACAAUAAACUCAAGAACAAUGAUCGGUCAGGUUUUUCAAGGACAUGCUGUAUCAGAUGAAGCACAGGCAGCUAUAAUCUUACUUCUAUAAUCACAAGUAAAAGAGCAGAAAUAUGUUACAAGCACUGAGCGAAAAGAUCGUAUUUUGGAGCUGCUUUUCCAGCACAGGAGGGAGACCAUCACAAAGAUAAAUCAUUUCAGAGGCCUAUU
Dreissena polymorpha is the source of this 332-nucleotide long non-coding RNA. RefSeq lists it as uncharacterized. NCBI's taxonomy places the organism in Eukaryota, Metazoa, Mollusca, Bivalvia, Myida, Dreissenidae. The transcript is spliced from 3 exons. The record is from RefSeq and is a predicted model, not a curated record.